RNAcentral lists this ribosomal RNA (465 nucleotides) under uncultured bacterium. RNAcentral's name for it is "partial 16S ribosomal RNA". It matches the Rfam family "Bacterial small subunit ribosomal RNA", at positions 28 to 507 of the family's 1533-position model. The record is from RNAcentral.
GACGAACGCUGGCGGCGUGCUUAACACAUGCAAGUCGUACGGUAAGGCCCUUUCGGGGGUACACGAGUGGCGAACGGGUGAGUAACACGUGAGUAACCUGCCCACAACUUUGGGAUAACGCUAGGAAACUGGUGCUAAUACUGGAUAUGUGCUCCUGCUGCAUGGUGGGGGUUGGAAAGCUCCGGCGGUUGUGGAUGGACUCGCGGCCUAUCAGCUUGUUGGUGGGGUAGUGGCCUACCAAGGCGGCGACGGGUAGCCGGCCUGAGAGGGUGACCGGCCACAUUGGGACUGAGAUACGGCCCAGACGCCUACGGGAGGCAGCAGGGGGGAAUAUUGCACAAUGGGCGCAAGCCGGAUGCAGCAACGCCGCGUGCGGGAGGACGGCCUUCGGGUUGUAAACCGCUUUCAGCAGGGACGAAGCUUUUUGUGACGGUACCUGCAGAAGAAGCACCGGCUAACUACGUG